GACGAACGCUGGCGGCGUGCUUAGCACAUGCAAGUCGAACGGUGAAGGAGAGCUUGCUCUCCGGAUCAGUGGCGAACGGGUGAGUAACACGUGAGUAACCUGCCCUUGACUCCGGGAUAAGCGUUGGAAACGACGUCUAAUACUGGAUACGACUUCGAACGGCAUCGUUCGGGUGGAAGAACUUCGGUCAAGGAUGGACUCGCGGCCUAUCAGCUAGUUGGUGAGGUAACGG
Molecule: ribosomal RNA, 232 nt
Filed under: uncultured bacterium
Lineage: Bacteria
Description: partial 16S ribosomal RNA
Rfam family: Bacterial small subunit ribosomal RNA
Source: RNAcentral